UCCGACUUCAUGGGGUCGAGUUGCAGACCCCAAUCCGAACUGAGACCGGCUUUUUGGGAUUCGCUCCACCUUACGGUAUCGCAGCCCUCUGUACCGGCCAUUGUAGCAUGCGUGAAGCCCAAGACAUAAGGGGCAUGAUGAUUUGACGUCAUCCCCACCUUCCUCCGAGUUGACCCCGGCAGUCUCCCAUGAGUCCCCGGCAUAACCCGCUGGCAACAUAGGACGAGGGUUGCGCUCGUUGCGGGACUUAACCCAACAUCUCACGACACGAGCUGACGACAACCAUGCACCACCUGUGUACGAGUGUCCAAAGAGAACCCCGUCUCGGGGGCUUUCUCGUACAUGUCAAGCCUUGGUAAGGUUCUUCGCGUUGCAUCGAAUUAAUCCGCAUGCUCCGCCGCUUGUGCGGGCCCCCGUCAAUUCCUUUGAGUUUUAGCCUUGCGGCCGUACUCCCCAGGCGGGGCACUUAAUGCGUUAGCUGCGGCACGGAACUCGUGGAAUGAGCCCCACACCUAGUGCCCAACGUUUACGGCAUGGACUACCAGGGUAUCUAAUCCUGUUCGCUCCCCAUGCUUUCGCUCCUCAGCGUCAGUUGCGGCCCAGAGACCUGCCUUCGCCAUCGGCGUUCCUCCUGAUAUCUGCGCAUUCCACCGCUACACCAGGAAUUCCAGUCUCCCCUACCGCACUCUAGUCUGCCCGUACCCGAUGCAAGCCCGAGGUUGAGCCUCGGGAUUUCACACCAGACGCGACAGACCGCCUACGAGCUCUUUACGCCCAAUAAUUCCGGACAACGCUUGCGCCCUACGUAUUACCGCGGCUGCUGGCACGUAGUUAGCCGGCGCUUCUUCUGCAGGUACCGUCACUUGCGCUUCUUCCCUGCUGAAAGAGGUUUACAACCCGAAGGCCGUCAUCCCUCACGCGGCGUCGCUGCAUCAGGCUUGCGCCCAUUGUGCAAUAUUCCCCACUGCUGCCUCCCGUAGGAGUCUGGGCCGUGUCUCAGUCCCAGUGUGGCCGGUCGCCCUCUCAGGCCGGCUACCCGUCGACGCCUUGGUAGGCCAUCACCCCACCAACAAGCUGAUAGGCCGCGAGCCCAUCCCCCACCGAAAAACUUUCCAACCCACACCAUGCGAUGCGAGCUCAUAUCCGGUAUUAGACCCCGUUUCCAAGGCUUAUCCCGAAGUGGAGGGCAGGUUGCUCACGUGUUACUCACCCGUUCGCCACUGAUCCACCCAGCAAGCUGGGCU
Molecule: ribosomal RNA, 1244 nt
Filed under: uncultured bacterium
Lineage: Bacteria
Description: partial 16S ribosomal RNA
Source: RNAcentral